UACGCAGGUCCCGAGCGUUGUUCGGAAUCACUGGGCGUAAAGGGAGCGUAGGCGGCGUGGUAAGUCAGAUGUGAAAUCCCGGGGCUCAACCCCGGAACUGCAUCCGAUACUGCCGUGCUUGAGGGUUGGAGAGGUAGCUGGAAUUAUCGGUGUAGCAGUGAAAUGCGUGGAUAUCGAUAGGAACACUCGUGGCGAAGGCGAGCUACUGGACAACAUCUGACGCUGAGGCUCGAAGGCUAGGGGAGCAAAAGGG
Molecule: ribosomal RNA, 253 nt
Filed under: uncultured bacterium
Lineage: Bacteria
Description: partial 16S ribosomal RNA
Rfam family: Bacterial small subunit ribosomal RNA
Source: RNAcentral